GGCGACUUCCGUCUGCUGGUUGGAGGGGGAAAGUCGUGGGGAACCAACAGGUGCUGGCAGUACGGUGUUUGCCAGAGAGGAGGGAGUGCAGCGCAGAGCGAGACUCGUCGCUGGUUUAACCAAUACUAGUCGCAAUGAGUUAAGAAGUCAGGAGUUAAAUGCCGGACAGCUGCUAAGAAGCCAGCUCUGACGGAUGCGCAGAAGGAAGCUCGCCUUGCAUGGGCUUACCAGCACAGGGACUGAACUGUGGAGCAGUGGAAUAGCACGGUCUUCACCGAUGAGACGUCGCACCGCUCCUCAGACUGCCGCGCCAAGAACGUGUGGCGAGAAGAUGGCACCAGGUAUGAGCCAGAAAAUGUGGUGGAGACGCGUGCCAGUGGAAGGGUCAGCUUAAUGCAGUGGUUCGCCUUUUCUGGCGACCUUGGAUCCAUUGCUGUCCAAAACUGUCCCGGCCGGAUGGAUGCCAUUUUCUACAGGUAGGUUCACACUAAAUCUGAAGAGGCUUUCAUUGUCCAUAGAAGGACGCGUUUUUGCGCGCAUCUCAGCCGGAUGCUAAGUGAGGAAUUUGCAUUAUAAUUAUUGACAAAAAAAAACAAUUGUCCAUAAAAGGAUGCUAGUUCGUCACUGGUUGGAUCCAAAUCUCGAUCCGCGGUUGAGAUGUGCACAAAACUGCGUCUUUCAAUGGGCAAUAAAAGUCUUUUCAGCUUAA
Long non-coding RNA from Frankliniella occidentalis (western flower thrips), 709 nucleotides. RefSeq lists it as uncharacterized. The record is from RefSeq and is a predicted model, not a curated record. The transcript is spliced from 3 exons. NCBI's taxonomy places the organism in Eukaryota, Metazoa, Arthropoda, Insecta, Thysanoptera, Thripidae.